RNAcentral lists this non-coding RNA (85 nucleotides) under Hominimerdicola alba. RNAcentral's name for it is "Ruminococcus albus GEMM cis-regulatory element". It matches the Rfam family "c-di-GMP-I riboswitch aptamer". From Rfam's summary of the family: GEMM was predicted in a large-scale screen for bacterial structured RNA regulatory elements. Lineage: Bacteria; Bacillati; Bacillota; Clostridia; Eubacteriales; Oscillospiraceae. The record is from RNAcentral.
AAUAUAGUUUAGCAAACCUGCCGAAAGGCAGCGACGCAAAGCCAAAGGGUCUAAGCCUAUGAGGGUAUGACAGCCGGUUGCCGUG